RNAcentral lists this ribosomal RNA (450 nucleotides) under uncultured bacterium. RNAcentral's name for it is "partial 16S ribosomal RNA". It matches the Rfam family "Bacterial small subunit ribosomal RNA", at positions 354 to 796 of the family's 1533-position model. The record is from RNAcentral.
GUGGGGAAUUUUGGACAAUGGGCGCAAGCCUGAUCCAGCCAUUCCGCGUGCAGGAUGAAGGCCUUCGGGUUGUAAACUGCUUUUGUACGGAACGAAAAGCCUCUGGUUAAUACCCGGGGGUCAUGACGGUACCGUAAGAAUAAGCACCGGCUAACUACGUGCCAGCAGCCGCGGUAAUACGUAGGGUGCGAGCGUUAAUCGGAAUUACUGGGCGUAAAGCGUGCGCAGGCGGCGAUGUAAGACAGUUGUGAAAUCCCCGGGCUCAACCUGGUAACUGCAUCUGUGACUGCAUUGCUGGAGUGCGGCAGAGGGGGAUGGGAUUCCGCGUGUAGCAGUGAAAUGCGUAGAUAUGCGGAGGAACACCGAUGGCGAAGGCAAUCCCCUGGGCCUGCACUGACGCUCAUGCACGAAAGCGUGGGGAGCAAACAGGAUUAGAUACCCUUGUAGUCC